AGCUCCAGAAGCGUAUAUUAAAGUUGUUGCAGUUAAAAAGCUCGUAGUUGGAUUUCUGGAUUUGCGCCGCUGGUCCGCAACGGUCUACGUUGUGAGUACCGACGUGCGCGUUUCCAUCCUUCUGGAGAACGUUUCUACCCUUUACUGGGCUGGGCUCGCGAUCCAGGACAUUUACUUUGAAAAAAUUAGAGUGUUUAAAGCAGGCUUUCGCUAUGAAUACAUUAGCAUGGAAUAAUAAUUUAGGACUUUGGUUCUAUUUUGUUGGUUUCUAGGACUGAAGUAAUGAUUGAUAGGGAUAGUUGGGGGUGCUAGUAUUCGGCGGCCAGAGGUGAAAUUCUUGGAUUCGCUGAAGACUAACUUAUGCGAAAGCAUUCACCAAGGAUGUCUUCUUUAAUCAAGA
RNAcentral lists this ribosomal RNA (400 nucleotides) under phytoplankton environmental sample. Its description in RNAcentral is "partial small subunit ribosomal RNA". It matches the Rfam family "Eukaryotic small subunit ribosomal RNA", at positions 587 to 982 of the family's 1831-position model. The record is from RNAcentral.